CGCGCACGGUGCCAAGCCAUCAGCCUCUCCAGUCCUCCUCGAUAAUCGUGCCGUUGUCGCCGAGGUUCACCUCUACGGCGACGUUGUGUUAAGAUAUGUGAGCUACAGGAAUUCUGAAAGCGACGACUCUGACCCUGGUAGUUGGUUUUUGCCCAAAUUUGAGGCAGUCGAGGCAGCAUCGUCUUUUCCGUUGGAUUAUGGGAUUAGGAGAUUGGACCAUGCGGUUGGAAACGUUCCUGAAUUAGCUCAGGCGGUGAAUUACGUUAAGGAAUUCACCGGUUUUCAUGAAUUUGCAGAGUUCACGGCGGAGGAUGUUGGGACUAGCGAGAGUGGACUGAAUUCGGUUGUUUUGGCUAAUAACGAAGAGACGGUACUGUUUCCAAUGAACGAGCCGGUUUUUGGGACCAAAAGGAAGAGUCAGAUACAGACUUAUCUAGAGCACAACGAAGGGGCUGGGUUGCAACAUUUGGCGCUUGUGAGUGAGGAUAUUUUCAGGACUUUGAGGGAGAUGAGGAAGAGGAGU
Molecule: long non-coding RNA, 523 nt
Filed under: Populus trichocarpa (black cottonwood)
Lineage: Eukaryota; Viridiplantae; Streptophyta; Magnoliopsida; Malpighiales; Salicaceae
Description: long non-coding RNA (PTRI_LNC000562)
Source: RNAcentral